RNAcentral lists this ribosomal RNA (501 nucleotides) under uncultured bacterium. Its description in RNAcentral is "partial 16S ribosomal RNA". It matches the Rfam family "Bacterial small subunit ribosomal RNA", at positions 30 to 523 of the family's 1533-position model. The record is from RNAcentral.
CUUGAACGCUGGCGGCAGGCUUAACACAUGCAAGUCGAGCGGGGGAAGAUAGCUUGCUACUGGACCUAGCGGCGGACGGGUGAGUAAUGCUUAGGAAUCUGCCUAUUAGUGGGGGACAACAUCUCGAAAGGGAUGCUAAUACCGCAUACGUCCUACGGGAGAAAGCAGGGGAUCUUCGGACCUUGCGCUAAUAGAUGAGCCUAAGUCGGAUUAGCUAGUUGGUGGGGUAAAGGCCUACCAAGGCGACGAUCUGUAGCGGGUCUGAGAGGAUGAUCCGCCACACUGGGACUGGGACACGGCCCAGACUCCUACGGGAGGCAGCAGUGGGGAAUAUUGGACAAUGGGGGGAACCCUGAUCCAGCCAUGCCGCGUGUGUGAAGAAGGCCUUAUGGUUGUAAAGCACUUUAAGCGAGGAGGAGGCUACUCUAGUUAAUACCUAGGGAUAGUGGACGUUACUCGCAGAAUAAGCACCGGCUAACUCUGUGCCAGCCGCCGCUGUAA